RNAcentral lists this long non-coding RNA (602 nucleotides) under Sinocyclocheilus anshuiensis. RNAcentral describes it as "lncRNA (ENSSANG00000029752.1)". The record is from RNAcentral. Lineage: Eukaryota; Metazoa; Chordata; Actinopteri; Cypriniformes; Cyprinidae.
UUCUGAUAAUAUUACCAAGGGGCAACAUGUAUAUUGAAAAUAGCAGAGAGACCGACCUAAGACAGAUCCUUGUGGCACUCCAUAUUUUACUGGUGAUAAUUGAGAUGACUCCCCAUUUAAAUGAACAAAAUGGUAGCGAUCGGACAGGUAGGAUCUAAACCAUCUUAAAGCCUGCCCUUGAAUACCUGUAUAGUUUUGUAAUCUAUCUAUGAGUAUGUCAUGAUCUAUAGUGUCGAACGCAGCACUAAGAUCAAGUAAAACUAGUAAUGAGAUGCAGCCUUGGUCUGACGCAAGAAGCAAGUCAUUUGUAAUUUUAACAAGUGCAGUUUCUGUGCUAUGGUGGGGUUUAGUUCACACUGGCCUGAUGGUGGAAAAUCAGCUGUUGUGUCCUCACUAACAUGAAGAUCACUGUUCUCUCAUGUUUCUGUCUCUCAGGUUUAUAUACCAGGUUGUGAUGGGAGGCAACAUUUCCCCCAAUGAGCAUGGGCUUGAGAAAGGAGGCCAGGGAGGAGCUGGAGAGGAGGAGACGCUGUCCUCUCAGAUUUGGAUAUUGCCACGCUUUUUGGAAAUUGCCACGCUGGGGGAGAAUUGGGGAAACUGCC